This 8311-nucleotide long non-coding RNA is filed under the name Capsicum annuum. RNAcentral's name for it is "long non-coding RNA (CANN_LNC013112)". Lineage: Eukaryota; Viridiplantae; Streptophyta; Magnoliopsida; Solanales; Solanaceae. The record is from RNAcentral.
AAUUUGGAAUCCUUAUUUUGUAUUUGGCAGUUAUGAGGUGCUUUUUUGUGCCAGCACUCUGUGAAUUAUGUUUGAAGUAUUUGUGAUAUAGUAGUGAAACAUAUCUGAAGCUUUAUCCUGAACAUUUGACUUCUUUCUUUUAUACAGUGUAACUGUUUAUAUUUAUUUUAUAGUCUCUGUAAAGAAUCCUAUUUGAAGAACUGGUUUACAUUAUUUAUUUCAUUGCUGUUGUUUAUUUUAUUCCCAGAAACUGCUGAUUUGACCUUUGUGACGAUGUAUAUCACUAGACUACUACUCCUAUAUAUCAAACAGUUGUCAGUCCUUAUGAUAGAUAUCUCUCUCUUAAACGUUCUUAAUCUGAUCGAGCACAUAGUUAUUUAAGGUUUUGUGGAUUGUUUAUUUCGACCCGGGAGUUGUAAGGAUAAUAGAUUUUGCUUUUGUGUUGCAUUAUUCUUCUCCCUUCGCUUCACAGUUUGCCCUUUCUUUUUUCCUUCUUUUGAGGCUUGUUGUGUGUUUUCCCUCAUUGGAUGUUCAAAUCUUGUUUUUUAGAUCACUUGUGCAGAUCAAUUAUUAAGUGUUUAUGGCAAUUUGUGAAUUUCACCACAUGUUUACUUUCAGAAAAGGAGAACUUGUGUCUCUAUGGGCUUCCUAAUGAAACAUGGGAAGUAAACCUCCCGGUGGAGGAGGUGCCUCCGGAACUUCCAGAGCCAGCAUUGGGCAUAAAUUUUGCACGUGAUGGAAUGCAAGAAAAAGACUGGUUAUCACUUGUUGCUGUUCACAGUGAUUCGUGGCUGCUUUCUGUUGCAUUCUACUUUGGUGCACGGUUUGGGUUCGGCAAGAGUGACAGGUAAUAGUAUAACAUCUGUUACCUUUAGAUUUCACCUAGAUCGCUUUAACUGCUCGAACUUGCUCCUCUCUGUUGUAUUUCAUUUGAAUGUGUAUGUUUUUCAUGUUUGAUGGAAGACAUUGGAGGCCUAGGCUAUCUUUAGGGAAAUGUAAAUUAGUGUUGUAUCGUGUGCUGUCCUAUUAAAUUCUGUGUGGAUUUCCCACCCUCCGUUUUAAAUUCUAUCUUUGUAGUGUCUAUUAGGUAUUUUUUGCUUGUGUCUCUUUUAUCUUUAGGGGUGUAUCUAGUGGCUUAAGUUGAGCUACUUCUUUCCCAUUGUAGUUCCCCUCAUGCUGCUUAAAUUCAUCUCCCCAAUCAUUUAGAACAUCCAGAACUUGUGUGCUCCAUUGAUUGAUUUAGGGAGAUGAGCCUCUGUGGUUGCUGUCCCUUUUUUGUUCCAUAGGUGGGAUAAUUUUCCUUGAAAAAUCACUUAAGUAAUUUAGUCAACAAUCAUGUAUUGAAAGGCUCUCUUUUCCAGAAUUGUUCUUUCUAAACCAUACAGUGGUAGCGCUCCCUUUUUUCCCUUCAAAUCUCUGUUGAAGAAAUAGGUAUAUGUUUCCUUUUUGUCGUCUUUUUGCUUACCAUGUUGUGUUUGACCUGUUUGUUGCCUCUUCUUGAGGUAUUUUCACGCAACGAUCAAUCAACCAUGCUCUGGGCCAAAUCCCAAACAAGGUGGAUUUGAUUUACUGUAUGUGAUUCUUCUCUCCAGGAUUCAGUAUUUAGAAUCAUCAUAGUGGCAUUGUUUGUGGCAUCAUUGGAUAAGAUAAUGUUUGAUUGAGAAGCUAAGGAUGACUGAGAUGUUUAUUUCAGCUGGUGUUUUUAGAUGUGUCGUAUUGAAUGAAAUAGCAUGUUGAGUGAACAAUAGGAGGUCGGCAAUCUUGAGAGAUCAUCAGCUGUUAUUAUUGAAUAGGUUAGUGCUUAGUUGAGUAACUGAAGGAUGUCUAGCAUGCCAGGACAUUCAGGACAAUAUUAAUGCUGUAUAAUACUUGAGUCCUCCACUUUUUGUAUCUGCUGCUAUUGUAGGCUAGAAAAUCUUCUGGGUGUGAAACUAUACUGAAAAUCAUUAUAAGCUGGAUUUUAUACUGCGAAACUAGUUUCGGAGGAGUCCAUAAUCAUGCGUACAUGUCCAGAAAUGUAAUGUUAAAUUUGCUUAUAUCUGUCAAGUGUCUGGAUAAGUUCAUCUAGCUAGCAUCCCAUCUCGUGAAUGUGGCUUCCAUUGGUUAAAUGGUUAUCUGAGAUUUAUUUAGAGAGAAUAAUUGCUUUCAUUUUGGAAUUUUUGCAUACAGGAAGAGGCUUUUCCAAAUGAUAAAUGAUCUUCCAACAGUGUUUGAGGUUGUUACUGGAGUUGCUAAGCAGGCACGUGAUGCCGCUCACAACAAUAGCAGCAAAAGCAAAUCAAGUGGAAAGGUUCUCAUAUACUGGAUCAACAUAAAUAAUUUACUCUUCUUUUUCCUUAUUUUGUCUAUCAUCUUUGAUUUACAGUCUAGACAGCCAGAGUCCCAACCCAAGGCAGCAAAGGUGUCUCCACCUAAAAUGGAGAACGAAAGUGGGGAGGAGGAAGAAGAAGAAGAAGAAGAAGACGAGCAAGGAGCAACUCUGUGUGGAGCUUGUGGUGAUAAUUAUGCCACUGAUGAAUUCUGGAUUUGCUGUGAUAUUUGCGAGAGAUGGUUCCAUGGCAAAUGCGUGAAGAUCACUCCAGCAAAAGCUGAGCAUAUCAAGCAGUACAAGUGUCCUAGUUGCAGUAGCAAGAGAGCUAAAGUUUAAACUCUUGUGGUAACUUUAAGAGCAACAUCAGUUAAGUGGUGAUGUUGGGAAGGUCUAGGACUUUUAGCUCAGUUAUCAAAUGCCAUCUAUGUCAAAGUUAAAUGUUUGCUGAUGAUAUGUCCAUUUCAUGAACAUUUGCUUUCUGUAAUCUUGGUUUUUGAUUGUGUUUUAGAUAAAAACUUGUGCCUGUCAUCAUCUUGUGUUUGUGGAUCCAUUUUCAUCUUCUUUUACUCUUAACUUACCUAAAUAUUACACUCUGGUAGUAUGGGGAAUUCAGAUCCGUCGCAAUGAUCAUCUUCCCCUCCAAUUUUGAAAUGAUUUUGAUUGCCGUGUGACAAUCCCUACAUAUCCUUACGCUCUACACCGCCCUUAUGACCGAGUGUGGCUCAGUAACAAGAAGUGCAGAAGCCACAGCCAAAUUCUCACUAUGGGUCCCUGCAUCUCUUCCAUCUUGUCAAAGAGCCCUCUUGCAGAAGCCAAAACACCAACUCUUGCAUAUGCUGAAAUCAUCGCAUUCCAUGUAACUAAGUUCUUGUAUGUACCUAAUUCAUCAAAGAUCUUCCUAGCCAUAGCAAGGUUCCCACACUCGGCAUGGCAUGCAUGUCGAGUGCGCAGUCUUAGCAGAAUAAUUCAAGCAAACACGCCAUGCGAAGAACACAAAGAAAUGACAGUAGCCCAUGUAGUUACAUCUGGGCAAACGCCACAACUCAUCAUCUCAUUAAACAACCUUAUAACUUCUUCAGCACACCCAUUUUGAUCAUUACCCGGACAACAUGGCAUAUCUGCAUUCGAAGACGCAACACUUCUCUCCGGCAUUUGAUCAAAAUACUUCCUAGCAUUCUCCAAAUCUUUCCUUCUUGAAUACCCAGUAACCAUGCAGUCCAAGUAACCACAUCCUUCUCGAUACUAGUACUGCAUAAUAGUGAUCAAAUCAGCUGAGAUGUCGUGAAUCAACUUCAGAAUGCUUUUGAAUUGUUUCAAUUCAAUGUCUUUACAGACUUCAUGGGAUCGUAAAGCUGAGCCAAUGCUAUGGUUCUCUAAAGAGGUUGUAUCCUAGAGAGGAAACUAAAGCUACAACGACCCUUCCAGCUUGAUAAAUUUGACACUUCAAAAAAGCAUUACAAAGUGAUUCUAAGAAUCUAACACACAAAACUUUUGUCCCUCCAACUCCAAUUACUCAUUCAUCUGUUCAUUUAUACUAACACAAACCACAAUUUAGCUCUUUAUAGUUAGUAGAUAGGUGUGAUUGUUGCAACAAUUACAAUAAUCACACUACAUGAGUUCUAUCACAAAUGUUUUAAAUAGCGUACAAGGCAUGGCUAGAAAAGAAAAUGGACAUUAGUAGGAGCAAUUACUUGGGCUAUCUCAGUUCUACAAGCAGAGCACAAAAAGCAUCAUUCAAAAGCCAGCAUCCAUGAUGUUCUUCUAGCUAACAUGUAGGCGAAUUCAGGCCAAAUGGCCAGUAGAUCAAGCUUAAAACAAUGGAGGAGCAGGGGAGUCUAUUAAGUUUUUUCUUUAAUUGAAAAGGAAAGUAUUUGUUAGUAGAUGUUGGUGCUUAUAUUGUAAUUUUAAUAUGAAAAUUCACAUAAACACCAAAAUUGCUAGAUAUCCGCGCCUCAAUCUAAAUAUUUAUUUAUUCAUUUUAUUUUAUAUUCAACAACGGUGUCCGAAGGGGUGUCUAUAAUUCGGGUCUAACCUUGUGAUAUACAUGGUCAAUCCGGUGCACUAAAACACCCGCUAUGCACGGAGUUUGGGAAAGGGUCUAUUUCCGCGUCUUACCUCACAUUUCUGCAAGAGGUUGUUUCCACGGUUUGAACCCAUGAUAGAGGUUGUUUCCACGGUUUGAACCCAUCAUAUACACAUAUGAACAAACAACAACAACAACAACAACAACAAACCCAGUGUAUUCCCACUUAGUGGGGUCUGGGGGAUAAGAUGUACGCAGUCCAUAUCUCUACCUCUGAUGAAGUAGAAAGGCUGUUUCCGAAAGACCCCCGGCUCAAGUCACGAGAUAUCACACAAACACAUAGUACAGCACAGAAGCAGAUGACAUAACAUAGCUACGGCACCCAUAUGUUGAACCCAUCAUAUACACAUAUGAACAAAAAAAAAAUUUUCUAGCUUGAUUUAUAAAAAAGUAUUACUAGUAAAAAAGCUACUCACCUCAUUUCUAUAUUGGAGUCAUCCCAAAAUUACCAAUUGUGUUUAAACUCAAUUCACUGCCUUGCGACGAUUUCACCAGAAAAAUUACACUUGUUUUCUCACAUCUAAAAUUUUUCUUUCUCUAACACCGGCUCCUCUUUUUCACCCAUCAGUUGAUCUGCAAGAUAAAACAAAUACUAGUACUUAAUAAACAAAUCACUCAAACCCUAAAAUUAAUCCCAAAUUUGUUCGAACCCAUUUUGUACCUAUGCAAAGAAAUAAUCUCAAUAAGAUUAAGUUUUAGGGUAACCAAUCAACAACAUAUCCAGCAUAGUUUUUUUAGUGAAAUUUGAGAAAGAACUCACCAAAAAAUACCAUGAUUAUACUAAUGGCAUAGAAUUAUACCAACAAUACUGAUAAGAAAAAUUAGAUAAUACUGACUAUGUCAUUGUAUCUCCUCAACAACUUUCGCUAAUUUUAUGAAAUAUCUGUUAUCUCUCACUAUAUCAGCAAAUUUUAUCCAUCAAAACAAAGUCAUAUAAAAAUUUGUCUUCCAUAACCUUGUAAUUCUCAAUCCAUUCAUUACUACAUCAAAUCUUUUGAAUACACAAUCCAAAAAACAUUUACUUUGAAAAGAAAGUGUAGACCUUUAGAUAACUAAAUAGACAUUCGUGCUAUUUCAAUCCCAUUAAAAACAAGAAUAUCAAAAUCAAACCCCUCAAAACUCAACAACCACACCCUUCUUGUUUACAUCUUUGCCUCGUCAUCAAACAAGAAGAAAAGAAGAUACUAGAACCCCUUCCCAAGUUCCUAACCAAUAAUAAAAUAAUCUCAACUAGGACCAUUAUAAUUUUUAAACAAGAAAAAAAAGAAGACAUUUUUACAUCAGAUUUCUGAUGUCUCUGCCACUUUUUUUUUUUUUUUUUUACAAUAGAUCCAAGUACUUGUACAGUAGUGCUAUAUUUACUCAAAAAAGGAAAAAAGAAAAUGAAUGCAGCUGCUAGAGUAAAACUCUCUACCCACCCAUCUCCACAUUCUUUUUUCUUCUCUCGCUUUCCAUAUCCGCUUCUUGCAAUUUUCUCAUAAAAAUUUAAGCUUUUUUUCUUUAUAAAUCUUCAUUUUUAACAGCAUAUAAUAAACUAAUUAUAAAUUCUGGGCAAUAUGAAGAGGAAACCCUAGCUAGUUCUUGGAAAAAACCCUAAUUUGCUUCAACCCUUUUCUUGUUUUUAGUCAAAGACUCAAUUUUUAGCUUGUGGGGUUGUUAGAAAUUGCUUGAAAAUAAGGAUAAUAUGGAAAAUACAGUACCUAGGACUGUAGAAGAAGUAUUCACUGAUUUCAAAGGUCGUAGAGCUGGUCUAAUCAAAGCACUUACUGCAGGUUUCUAAUUCUUCUUCUUUUUUAUCUUGGAUUUUUAUGCAGUGUUGUGAGUUUUUAAGCAUAAUUACGUUCUGGAUUUUGUUGGUUUUGCUAAUUAUGAUGUUAUUUUUUUGAUUUUGCUAAUUGUGAUUUUAUUUUUUUAUGAAUUAUUGCAGAUGUUGAGAAGUUUUAUCAGCAGUGUGAUCCUGGUGUGUUUUUUUUGCUCAGUUUGCUCAUUUGGUUCUUCUGUUUUACUGAUUUUGAGGUGUAUUUCUUAAAUGUAGUAUAUUUUCCUAUAUGCUAUAGCUUUUAAUUUCUGGGACUUUUUAUGAGAGAGAGAGAGAGAACUCUGUUGUGCAUAUUCCUGCUAAAAAAAAAUUGGAAUUUCAUUGUUAAUGUGGUUAGAGUGAUUAAGCCACCUAAUUAGGACUUUGUGACUGACUGUUAAUGUUGAUAUUUCAGAAUUCUAUAAUUUGCUUAUUGUCCAGUUUUUGUGUCAGUUUUGUAAUUUCAAUGUCUUUUUCUCUGAAAGUAAGCUAAAACACCUCAUGGUUAGAGCUUUCUGACUGUUUGCAUCGUUUUGUCAUUUGAUGUUGUUCUUUGGCUGUUAUGCAGGAACGAAAACAAUCAUAUCUUUAUUAAGUAGUUAAUCGUUGCUUCAGUUGAAAAAAGAAAUUCUUCUGCAUUUACAACAGAAUUAUCAUGACCUCAAACUGCAUUCCAGAAUAUGAGUUGUAAAAAUGAGAUCAUUACUUAGAAUUUUAUGUCAUUUAGUGAGUGUGUCAAUGUUAGAAGUGUUUUCAUCGUAAUUUUGAAGGUGUGUGUUAAUUCUCAAGGAGGUAGCGGUAUGGUCUGCGUACAUCCUACCCUCCCCAGACCCUACUUUGUGGGAAUACACUGGGUUUGUUGUUGUUGUUGUUGUGUUAAUUCUCAAGGAAGACGAGAUGUAAAAUUUUCUUUUAUGUAGCAGUGAUCAUCAUUUCCCUAUCACAGUGACAAGUGUCUCCAACCAUUACUAAUCUUGUUUCUGAUUGGUAAUAGGCAUGUCCCAAUGUCUGUUGUAUUAAAGAAAUGUCAAGACUUAUCCUGAUUGUAUCAGCUGGUGUACUUAUAAAGGUAAAAGAGCAUAUGAUUGCAGUUCUGAAAGCACUUUGAUGUUUUCAUGACCUUUUGUAGACGCUUUUGGUGUAUACAUACUUGAGGCGUCUGGAGGCGGUUUUGUUGAAGUGGUCGAAGUUUGUGGUCAGUGUGGGAGGAUAGUUGUCAUCUUGUGAUUAAUGAAUGUUCUCGUAUUUUUUUCUCCUUGUCAUUUUUCUUUUGUGGUGAAGGUGACAUUCUGUUAUUGCGGGUCACUGAACACAAUUUCAGAUAUUUGGAAAUCCUUAUUUUGCAUUUUGACAGUAUUAGAGGUGACUUUUUGUGCCAGCAUUCAUGGAUUGUUUUUGAAGGCAUUUGAUGUAAUAGAGAAACAUACCAUAGCUUUAUCCGGAACUCUUGACUCCUUUAUUUUAUGCAGCUUCUACCUUGUUCAUAUUUAUUCUCUAGUCUGUAAAUAACUCUGUAUGAAGAACUGGUUUAAAUACUUUAUUUCAUUGCUGUUAUUUAUGUUGUUCCCAUUUUGCAGAACUUCUUAUGAUGAACUUUGUGACAAUGUAUAUCUAUAAACUACUCUAUGUCAAACAGUUAUCUUGGUUUCAUGUCAGUAUAUCUCACUUUUGAAUGUUCUUAGUCCAAUCACAUAGUUAUAAGGAGAUUUGGAUUGUUUAUUCCAACCUGGAAGUUGUAAGGAUAAUAGAUUUUUCUUGUGUUGUAGCAUCAUUCUUCUCUCCUUCACUUCACAGUUUGCCCUCUCCUUUUCCUUGUUAUGAGGCCUGUUGGGUAUUUUCCCUCACUGGAUUUUCAAUUCUUCUUUCCUUUAGAUCUCUUAUGCGGAUUAUUUUUGUGAAUUGCUUAUGUCCAGUUCUGAAUUUAACCAUGUAUUUACUUUCAGAAAAGGAGAACUUGUGUCUCUAUGGGCUUCCUAAUGAAACAUGGGAAGUAAACCUCCCUGUGGAGGAGGUGCCUCCAGAACUUCCGGAGCCAGCAUUAGGCAUAAAUUUUGCACGUGAUGGAAUGCAAGAGAAGGACUGGUUAUCACUUGUUGCUGUUCACAGUGAUUCAUGGUUG